RNAcentral lists this long non-coding RNA (618 nucleotides) under Homo sapiens (human). Its description in RNAcentral is "DEAD-box helicase 24 (ENSG00000273761.5)". Lineage: Eukaryota; Metazoa; Chordata; Mammalia; Primates; Hominidae. The record is from RNAcentral.
AGGAAGAAAAGUGAUCUUCAGUCAGGAGACUUGGGUUCUGGGCUCUGUCUGAUGACUGGCUCUGUGAUGUGAGCCAGGAGGAAAAGCUGACCAGCAAGAAGAACGUCGGAGACAAAAGCAGAUGAAGGUUCUGAAGAAGGAGCUGCGCCACCUGCUGUCCCAGCCACUGUUUACGGAGAGCCAGAAAACCAAGUAUCCCACUCAGUCUGGCAAGCCGCCCCUGCUUGUGUCUGCCCCAAGUAAGAGCGAGUCUGCUUUGAGCUGUCUCUCCAAGCAGAAGAAGAAGAAGACAAAGAAGCCGAAGGAGCCACAGCCGGAACAGCCACAGCCAAGUACAAGUGCAAAUUAACUGGUCAAGUGUGUCAGUGACUGCACAUUGGUUUCUGUUCUCUGGCUAUUUGCAAAACCUCUCCCACCCUUGUGUUUCACUCCACCACCAACCCCAGGUAAAAAAGUCUCCCUCUCUUCCACUCACACCCAUAGCGGGAGAGACCUCAUGCAGAUUUGCAUUGUUUUGGAGUAAGAAUUCAAUGCAGCAGCUUAAUUUUUCUGUAUUGCAGUGUUUAUAGGCUUCUUGUGUGUUAAACUUGAUUUCAUAAAUUAAAAACAAUGGUCAGA